UGUACACACCGCCCGUCGCUACUACCGAUUGAAUGGCUCAGUGAGGCCUUCGGACUGGCCCAGGGAGGUCGGCAACGACCACCCAGGGCCGGAAAGUAGGUCAAACUCGGUCAUUUAGAGGAAGUAAAAGUCGUAACAAGGUUUCCGUAGGUGAACCUGCGGAAGGAUCAUUA
Molecule: ribosomal RNA, 173 nt
Filed under: uncultured fungus
Lineage: Eukaryota; Fungi
Description: partial 18S ribosomal RNA
Rfam family: Eukaryotic small subunit ribosomal RNA
Source: RNAcentral